Molecule: long non-coding RNA, 7881 nt
Filed under: Solanum tuberosum (potato)
Lineage: Eukaryota; Viridiplantae; Streptophyta; Magnoliopsida; Solanales; Solanaceae
Description: long non-coding RNA (STUB_LNC001760)
Source: RNAcentral
GCUAACAAAUCUAAAAGAUUCACUCACUCAAAUGGAAGGAAUCAACAUGGAGCAAAUCAAGGCUAACGAAUCAUGAAGUCAAUAAUCUGUACAAGGCAGAUUCUCACAAAGAAGGAAGGAAAAUAUUUACACGAACAUAUCUGAUAUGGACGUGAUUACACUCAAUCAAGGAAUCCUUACAAAUCCUUGAUUGAAAGAAAAUCCCUUGGGUUUUCCUUGAAGAGCAGAAUUAUCAUCCAUCUCCAACACUAUAAAUUAUCCGCACCCUCAGCAUAGAGAAUUACGAACUUCACUUGAACUUGUAUUGUUGCUUUCUUUUAUCUUUGAGAAAAACCUUGUAGUCUGUCUAGUCUACAAUUGUAACAGAAAAGAGAAAGAAUAAUCUCUAGUAUAGGUUUUACAAGUAGAGGUUGCGUCAAGAUAAGAAGUCUGAUUUGCAUAUCAGACAAGUACUGAAUACUCCAACAUUGUAUCACCAAGUUCACUCAAAGCUCUUAAGGAAACCCUUGUAACCCAAGGGGACUGGAAGUAGGCACCACAUCGGUGUUCCGAACCAGGAUAAAGUUUUCUGUUUCUUUACAUUCUGUCAUCAUAUUUUAUAUUAUUUGAAAUUACUAACUUGCAGGUCAGUUGACUCUCACCCUUGAGUAGUCGACUCGAAGAAAAUUUCAAUUCACGCCCCCCCCCCUCCCCUCUUGACUUUCAAUUGGUAUCAGAGCAGGUCUCACAUUUGAAAGUGCUUAACCACACGUGAGAAAAGAUCUAUGGCAAACUACCAAAUUCCUGGUGCAAUCCUUCAAGACGGUCACUCAUCAAAUCGUCCUUCGUACUUCAAUGGCCAACACUACUCCCACUGGAAAGACAGGUUCAGAAUCUUUGUCCAAUCAAAUGACUUUCAAGCAUGGGUAGUAAUCAAGAAGGGACCAAAACCAAAUCCCAGGCCUAACUGGAAAGGAAACUGCUGGAAAAGAAAUUGAUCCAGAGUCCUUUGAGAUAACCAAGGAACAACAAGAGGUAUUGCAAACUAAUGCUAGAGCUAUAAGUCUUUUGUAUUUGCAGUUAGCGGAGCAGAAUAUGACAAGAUUUCAACAUGUGAAACUGCAAAGGAAAUGUGGGAUAAGCUUGAAGUUACCUAUGAAGGAACUAGCAGAGUAAAGGAAGCCAGAAUCAGCUCUCUCGUAAAUGAAUACGAAUUAUUCAAAAUGGCAGAUGAUGAGAAUGUUGAGAAUAUGUUCUCUAGAUUCAGUAAGAUUGUAUGUGAACUAAAGUCCUUAGGGAUGGUCUACUCAAAUGGUUUACAAGUAAGAAAACUUAUAAGAAGCCUUCCAAAAGCUUGGGAAACUAAAGCAGCUAUUCUAGAGGAUGGAGAUCUCCAAUUGAUGACUUAUGAUGAACUUAGGGGAAAUCUCAUGGCAUAUGAACAGAAUCACAUUAACAGGUAUAAUAAAGAUGAGGAAAAGAAAAUUGUUGCUUUUAAUGCAGAAGUCUAUGAAGCAGAAGAAGAAGUUGAUGAAGCAAGUAGUGAAGGAAUGGCUCUCAUAACUCGAGGAGUCAGACAAAUGCUAAGACAAAGAAAACAAAAACCUCAACAAGAAUCAAGAAACAACAGCUACUCAAGAAAUGAUGAUCGAUGCUAUCAUUGUGGAAAACCAGGACACAUCAGGCAAAACGGUCCUGAACUAAAAAGAAUGAAUUACAGGAGGAAUGAUAAUCCAAAAUCUCUUGGAGCUUGGAGCGAGGAAGAUGUAUCUGAAGAAGAUCCUUCAGAAUCGACUAACAUAUGUUUCUUGGCUCUAGAAGAAACUAAUCAACAAAACAAGAACAAUGCAUCUGAAGAAGAUCCCUCAGAAUCAACUGAUGUAUGCUUCAUGGCACUAGGAGAAACUAGUGAGGUAAGAAUGCAAAUUUGUUAUAACUGUAUAAACUUGCAAAAUUCUUUAGACAUGAUUACUGAUGAACUUCAAAAGGUCAUCGAUGAAUAUAACAAACUGGCCAACGAAAAGAAAAACUGGCAAAUUUCUCUGGAAGUAAGUCAAGUGGAAGUCGACUUACUUCUUGAAGAACUUGGUGAACUUAAGAUGCAACUAAACAGUGUCAAGAAAUCACCAAGUCAUAGUCCAGUUCGCUCUAACAUAUCAUUUCAAAAUCUUUCUCAAAAUUCCUCUUUUUACGGUGCUAAAUCUUCUUUCAAACCUAGCUGUUAUACUUGUGGAAAAAUUGUUCAUAAAUCCUUUAACUGCAAAACCCACUCUUCUAGCAAAUGGGUAUGGCGACCCAAAAAUGUUAACUCUAACCCUCCAGGACCCAACCAGACUUGGGUACCUAAAAGAAACUAAAUUAUUUGUUUUGCAGGAGCGUACUAAGAGGACCUACAGAAAGGGAAUGUGGGUAAUCGAUAGUGGAUGCUCCAGACACAUGACUGGAAAGAAAGAAAACUUCAAUAAGGUAGAAAAAAUUGAUGGAGGCUAUGUAAGGUUUGGAAAUAAUGCUAAAGGAGAAGUCACAGGGAUUGGAACUAUAACUAUCAACCCUUCAUGUGAUCUUGUAGAAGUAUACCUUGUUGAUGGAUUGAAACAUAAUCUCCUGAGUAUCAGUCAAUUAUGUUAUGCCGGCUUUGACGUUCAUUUCAAUGCAGUACAAUGCAUCAUAAGCAACUCAGAAAAGGACAUAACAAUAAUUGGAUAACGAAUAGAAAACAUCUAUGUUCUGAACAAUGUUGAUCUACCAACGCUAACUUGUCUCACAGCUAUCUCCAGUGAUCCAUGGCUCUGGCAUAGAAAACUUGGACACGCAAGUAUACAUGCUCUAGAAAAACUUUCUAGACUGGAACUAGUUAUUGGUUUACCAAAGCUCAAAUUCGAGAAAGAUCAUAACUGUGAUGCGUGUCAACUCGGUAAACAGACUCGAUCGUCCUUUAAAGUAAAGGACAUUGUGAGCAGUUCUAAACCUUUGCAAUUAUUACAUAUGGAUCUAUUUGGUCCUACUAAAACUACAAGCAUUGGUGGUAAAAAAUAUGCAUUUGUAAUUGUUGAUGAUUAUUCGCGUUUUACUUGGGUUAUUUUCUUAUCUCAUAAACAUGAAGCUUUUACUAAUUUUGAAGUAUUAUAUAGAAAAGUCCAAAGAGAAGCAGGUUAUUUUAUUUCCACCAUUCACAGUGAUCAUGGAGGAGAGUUCGAAAACAAAUCUUUUGAGGAAUUUUGCAACCAACAGGGAUACACUCAAAAUUUCUCAUCUCCCCGAUCUCCUCAACAAAAUGGUGUAGUGGAACGAAAGAAUCGAUCUCUCUAGGAUACAGCCAGAACUAUGCUUCUCGAUCGAAGUCUACCAGAUCACUUCUGGGCAGAAGCCGUAAGUACUACAUGUCAUAUCUUAAACAGAUGCUUGAUCAGACCUAUCCUGAAAAAGACCCCUUACGAGCUAUGGAAAGGUAAGAAGCCUAACAUUAGUUACUUUCACCCAUUCGGAUGCAAAUGCUACAUUCACAACAAUGGUAAGAAUAAUCUUGGUAAGUUCGACCCUCGAAGUGAUGAAGGAAUAUUCUUAGGAUAUUCCCCAUCUAGUCGAGCUUUUAGAGUUUUUAAUAAGCGAACUCUAAGUGUUGAAGAAUCUGUUCAUGUUGUUUUUUAUGAAACUAAUCCGAGAAUGUAGGCUAUAGAUUCAAUUAUUCAGGAAGAAGAACCUAUAUCUCAUACCUCUUCAACUGGCCAAGAACCAACAGUAGUCGACUAUGACACUUCCUCAAAACCAACUAAUACUGAAGAAGAGUCAACUUUCAACAUAGAAAAGUCGAAUGUUCCAAGAGAAUGGAGACACAAUUCAAGUUUUCCAAAUGAUUUUAUUAUCGGAAACCCAUCAGAUAAAACGCAAACCAGAGCCUCCAUUAGAAAACAAGCAUCUGUAGCUCUCAUCUCACAAAUUGAACCAAAACGAAUUGAUGAGGCCUUAGCUGAUGAAUCAUGGAUUGAAGCUAUGAAAGAAGAAUUAGAACACUUUGAAAGAAAUCAAGUUUGGGCUCUCAUUAAAAGACCAAAGAACUGUUCAGUAAUCGGCACAAAUUGGGUUUUUCGAAACAAACUCAAUGAAGAAGGUAAAGUUAUCAGAAAUAAAGCCAGACUAGUUGCACAAGGCUACUCUCAGCAAGAAGGUAUUGAUUAUGAUGAAACUUUUGCUCCUGUAGCAAGGUUAGAAUCUAUACGAAUUCUUCUUGCAUAUGCAUCUUUUAACAAAUUCAAAUUAUUUCAAAUGGAUGUAAAAAGUGCUUUUUUGAAUGGCUUUAUAAAUGAAGAAGUUUUUGUUAAACAACCUCCCGAUUUUGAAAAUUCUUCAUGUCCUGAUUAUGUUUUCAAACUUUCUAAGGCACUUUAUGGUCUUAAACAAGCCCCUAAAGCUUGGUAUGAAAGACUAAGUACCUUUUUGCUCAGAAAUAAUUUUCAACGAGGGAAAAUUGAUACUACUCUUUUUACACAAACUCUUAAUUCAAGUCUUCUCAUUGUUCAAAUUUAUGUUGAUGACAUUAUAUUUGGAAGCUCUAACAUCUCAUUGUGUGAGAAUUUUGCAAAUCUUAUGAAAGGAGAAUUUGAAAUGAGUCUUAUGGGAGAACUCUCAUUUUUCCUUGGACUUCAAAUCAAGCUGUCUCAUGAUGGAACGUUUAUUAACCAAAGCAAAUAUGCAAAGGAGUUAAUAAAAAAAUUUGGAAUGGAAAAGGGAAAGGCUUUCAGAACUCCUAUGAGUCCAUCCACAUGUUUGGAAAGAGAUAACGCAGGAAAAGACGUGGACAAAAAACUUUAUCGUGGAAUGAUCGGAUCACUGCUUUACUUAACAGCCAGUCGACCUGACAUUAUGUAUAGUGUGUGCAAAUGUGCAAGAUUUCAAUCCGCUCCAAAGGAAUCUCAUCUCACUGCUGUAAAAAGAAUUAUUCGAUACUUGAUCGGUACUUUAGAGAUGGGACUAUGGUAUCCUUGCUCAUCUAAUUUUGAAUUAUCUGGAUUUUCUGAUGCUGAUUUUGCAGGAGACAAAAAUGAUAGAAAAAGUACUAGUGGUACUUGUCAAUUUCUUGGAAAAUCUUUAAUUUCCUGGCAUAGCAAAAAACAAUCCUCUGUGGCUCUCUCAACUACUGAAUCUGAAUAUCUUGCCAUUGGUAGUUGUGGAACUCAAUUAUUAUGGAUUAUGCAUCAAUUGCUUGAUUUUAAUUUAUGCUAUGAAAGUGUACCCAUUUUCUGUGAUAAUACCAGUGCAAUUAGCUUGUCAAAAUAUACUGUGCAUCAUUCUAGAGCUAAACAUAUUGAUAUUAAGCAUCAUUUUAUUAGAGAUCAUGUAGAAAAUGGAGAUUUCGUUCUAGAAUUUGUUAAUUCUAAAAAUCAACUUGCUGAUAUUUUUACAAAACCUUUACUUGAAGAAAGAUUUUGUUUUCUUAGAAAAUCUUUAGGAAUUAUUGCUAUGUGAUUUUUUUUUGUGCCUUAAUUAUGUACUUUGAUGUGAUUGUGUUUCCUUUCCUAUCUUUUCAACUCUUUUUGUGACUACCGUCUUUUUUUCUUCUCUUAUUUUUCUAAACCCUUCAUCUUCCUCUUUCCUUUAAAACUUCAAAAUCUCCUAAGUCCCCUUCAUCUUCCUUACCCAUCUUUCUUAUUUUCUCUCCACCAUGACUAGAACUCGUUCAAUGACUGCUCCAAAAAAUCUCGUCAAUGAUCACGGCUCCACUGAGGUUGAUUUUCUUUCCCUCUCGUCUAAUUCUGAUAUAGCAGAAUCCUCUGCUAGACCCUCCUCUUCAAAGAAGAGGACUUCAUCAGUCAAGAAGAAAAGUUGAAAAAAGUCUCUCUCAGAUCCAUCAAUCUCUUUUGAACCAGAGGACAUGCAUAAAAUUUUGGGGAGUUGAACAAAAGCGAAAGUUCGAAGCUUUCAAGAAGCGUCCAAUUGUGCCAGGACGAGUAAUAAACUUAGAACAAUUGGAAGAUUCUCACAGUCCGGUAAUCUCUCUCUUCAGAACUCAAAAACUAUCUUUGUUGCUUCGUCUAUGUGGUCCUGAACUUUAUGAAGAACCUGUCAGAUUGUUCUAUGCUAACCUCCGUAUUUCUGAAGAUAGUGGAGAUUUGGAAACCCUAGUGUUAGCAAAUCGCAUUGUUAUUAAUGAUUCUAUGUUUAAAGACGUUUUUGGCUCUGAGUUCUUUGAUGAUGUUCCCUAUAUGAAUGGGGUGUGGCCUGAAAAUUUUGAAGUCUCUUUUGAAGCUGCAAAAGUAGCAGUUGCUGAACCUAAUACUGACUUAUCAAAUUUUGGUCCUCUGUCUUUAUGUUUUGAAAAUCGUAUCAUUGCUCAUAUUGUGGCUACAACUUUGGUUCCUCGAAAGGGCUCUCUUAGCAAUAUCUCAACUAGAGAUGUAUUUAUUCUUUACUGCUUGGUGAAAAAGUACCGUAUUAAUUGGGCUGCCUGGAUUCGUGAAUAUAUGUUGGAAAGUGUUGAAGAUUCAAAUCCCUCUGCCAGUUUACCCUAUGGGUUGCUUGUUUCUCGUAUCAUAGUCGACUCACUGGUUGAUCUAUCUAACUACAAGCCUGUUGAAAUCAAUGCUACUUAUGACACUAAGACUUUUUCAAGUAUGGGAUAUGUUCUGGUAAAUGACAAAUGGCACAAGAAGGAAUCCCUCCAGGCUAGGGCUGAGACUUCCAAAGCUACUCGAGUGUCAGCAGAUUCUGCAUCAGCUCUUCUCCAGGAAGUUGGAGACAUCAAGACUCGUCUGACCCAUCUUGAAUCAAAUGUAAUGGUCAUGCAGGACUGUCUGAAUAAGAACCUUCAGCACUCAAACUUUUCAAAAGAUGUUGAACGUUCCUACGACUCUUUCUGCAGGAACAUUCUCAACACUCUUAAGUAUUUCCUUGGCCGUCUUUGAAAACUCUGUUUCCUCCUCUCUUUUGCUCAGACAUUAUUCCAAAGGGAUAUGUCUUCCUCAUCUUAACUGCUUUAACUUAUUUUGUAUAAAACUGUGAUUAUUUUGUCUGUUAUCUAUAUUACCAAACUCUGCCUUGUCUGUCAUUUUGUUUUCCUUUUUGAUUAUGCCAAGGGGGAGAAUAAAAUAAAAGCAGUCAUAUAACCAUACCCAGCAGAAUACAGAAAUGCACUUAAACAGGGGAAGCGUAGAACGGAGACUAGAGACAGGGGGAGCAAAUAACAGGGAAGUUAAAAUGAUCACAUUCACUCAUAUAGUUAUAUUAUGUGUCAUUAUCAAAAAGGGGGAGAUUGUUAGCAUUAAUGUUUUGAUAAUGAUUGCAGGACAUAGGAUCAGUUGGACUAAAAGAAAAGGAAAGUAACAUCAACAGGAUAAACAUGGAAGGAAAUAUAUUUAGAGCAGAUCAAGAAUACUCACUCAUUCAAAAUGAAGGGAACAUGAAGAUAGAUUAGCAAGGAACAAAACAAGGCUAACAAAUCUAAAAGAUUCACUCACUCAAAUGGAAGGAAUCAACAUGGAGCAAAUCAAGGCUAACGAAUCAUGAAGUCAAUAAUCUGUGCAAGGCAAAUUCUCACAAAGAAGGAAGGAAAAUAUUUACACGAACAUAUCUGAUAUGGAUGUGAUUACACUCAAUCAAGGAAUCCUUACAAAUCCUUGAUUGAAAGAAAAUCCCUUGGGUUUUCCUUGAAGAGCAGAAUUAUCAUCCAUCUCCAACACUAUAAAUUAUCCACACCCUCAGCAUAGAGAAUCACGUACUUCACUUGAACUUGUAUUGUUGCUUUCUUUAUCUUUGAGAAAAACCUUGUAGUCUGUCUAGUCUACAAUUGUAAUAGAAAAGAGAAAGAAUAAUCUCUAGUAGAGGUUUUACAAGUAGAGGUUGCGUCAAGAUAAGAAGUCUGAUUUGCAUAUCAGACAAGUACUGAAUACUCCAACAUUGUAUCACCAA